This 385-nucleotide ribosomal RNA is filed under the name uncultured bacterium. Its description in RNAcentral is "bacterial SSU rRNA". It matches the Rfam family "Bacterial small subunit ribosomal RNA", at positions 28 to 407 of the family's 1533-position model. The record is from RNAcentral.
GAUGAACGCUAGCGACAGGCCUAACACAUGCAAGUCGAGGGGCAGCACAUGAGUAGCAAUACGAUGGUGGCGACCGGCGCACGGGUGAGUAACACGUAUGCAACCUGCCUGUAAGAGGGGAAUAACCCGGAGAAAUUCGGACUAAUACCGCAUAAUACCGAGAGACUGCAUGGUUUUUCGGUUAAACAUUUAUGGCUUACAGAUGGGCAUGCGUAUGAUUAGCUAGUUGGUGAGGUAACGGCUCACCAAGGCAACGAUCAUUAGGGGUUCUGAGAGGAAGGUCCCCCACACUGGUACUGAGACACGGACCAGACUCCUACGGGAGGCAGCAGUGAGGAAUAUUGGUCAAUGGGCGAGAGCCUGAACCAGCCAAGUCGCGUGAAGG